CCUACGGGAGGCAGCAGUAGGGAAUCUUCGGCAAUGGAGGAAACUCUGACCGAGCAACGCCGCGUGAGUGAUGAAGGUCUUCGGAUUGUAAAGUUCUUUUCUAAGGGAAGAAGGAAGUGACGGUACCUUAGGAAUAAGCUUCCGCUAACUACGUACCAGCAGCCGGGGUAAUACGUAGGAGGCGAGCGUUAUCCGGAAUGGCUGGGCGUAAAGGGCGGGUAGGUGGUUUGGCAAGUUAGUAGCGUAACUCCAAGGCUCAACCUUGGAACUACUACUAAAACUGUUGGACUUGAGUGCAGGAGGGGCAACCGGAACUCCUAGUGUAGCGGUGGAAUGCGUAGAUAUUAGGAGGAACACCAGUGGCGAAGGCGGGUCGCUAGUCUGUAACUGACACUGAGGCACGAAAGCAUGGGGAGCAAACAGGAUUAGAUACCCCGGUAGUC
Molecule: ribosomal RNA, 443 nt
Filed under: uncultured bacterium
Lineage: Bacteria
Description: partial 16S ribosomal RNA
Rfam family: Bacterial small subunit ribosomal RNA
Source: RNAcentral